RNAcentral lists this transfer RNA (72 nucleotides) under Collariella sp. IMI 366227. RNAcentral's name for it is "tRNA-Glu". It matches the Rfam family "tRNA". From Rfam's summary of the family: Transfer RNA (tRNA) molecules are approximately 80 nucleotides in length. Their secondary structure includes four short double-helical elements and three loops (D, anti-codon, and T loops). The record is from RNAcentral. Lineage: Eukaryota; Fungi; Ascomycota; Sordariomycetes; Sordariales; Chaetomiaceae.
GGAUUAGUAGUCAAGUGGUACGACAUAGCUCUUUCAAUGCUAGAACCGCAGGUUCGAUCCCUGCCUAGUCUA